Molecule: long non-coding RNA, 532 nt
Filed under: Nicotiana benthamiana
Lineage: Eukaryota; Viridiplantae; Streptophyta; Magnoliopsida; Solanales; Solanaceae
Description: long non-coding RNA (NBEN_LNC019437)
Source: RNAcentral
AGAGUUUUAGAAGACUCUCGGUUAUUAAGGUCACUGCUUAACAAAGCGAUCUUGAUAGCCGCUGACGUACUAAGGAGUUAUGUAUUGGAGCUUACCUGUUUGCUCUUACGGUAAUGAGGACGGCCCGACGUUCGGGGAUGUUGCAUUGCGCUUUCUAUUUAAAGCAGUGUGCAUCCUCGCUUCAGAGGGCUUGUGGCGGAGAAUUUAACCAUUACUCACUUCGCGUACCCAUCUUUCUGACACGCUCCUAGGGUAUCAUAAUCCCCUCUUUUCAUCGAAAAACUUAUAUACAUACAAGAGGGAUGAUUAUAGUGAUUGUGUUAGUUCAGAUCUAUCUUUCCUUCGGAACCUUGGCAAAGGUUGUGGCAGAGAGUUUUAGAAGACUCUCGGUUAUUAAGGUCACUGCUUAACAAAGCGAUCUUGAUAGCCGCUGACGUACUAAGGAGUUAUGUAUUGGAGCUUACCUGUUUGCUCUUACGGUAAUGAGGACGGCCCGACGUUCGGGGAUGUUGCAUUGCGCUUUCUAUUUAAA